CCUACGGGCGGCAGCAGUGGGGAAUAUUGGGCAAUGGGCGCAAGCCUGAUCCAGCAACGCCGCGUGAAGGAAGAAGUCUUUCGGUUUGUAAACUUCUUUUAUCAGGGACGAAGCAAGUGACGGUACCUGAUGAAUAGUCCACGGCUAACUACGUGCCAGCAGCCGCGGAAAUACGUAGGUGGCAAGCGUUAUCCGGAUUUACUGGGUGUAAAGGGCGUGUAGGCGGGAGUGCAAGUCAGAUGUGAAAACUAUGGGCUCAACCCAUGGCCUGCAUUUGAAACUGUACGUCUGGAGUGCUGGAGAGGCAGUCGGAAUUCCGUGUGUAGCGGUGAAAUGCGUAGAUAUAAGGAGGAACACCAGUGGCGAAGGCGGAUUGCUGGACAGUAACUGACGCUGAGGCGCGAAAGCGUGGGGAGCAAACAGGAUUAGAUACCCCAGUAGUC
RNAcentral lists this ribosomal RNA (443 nucleotides) under uncultured bacterium. RNAcentral describes it as "partial 16S ribosomal RNA". It matches the Rfam family "Bacterial small subunit ribosomal RNA", at positions 338 to 795 of the family's 1533-position model. The record is from RNAcentral.